GCAUCUAUAGUUCAAUGGAUAGAAUGCGGCCCUCCGAAGGCUGUGAUGACAGUUCGACUCUGUCUAGGUGCA
Molecule: transfer RNA, 72 nt
Filed under: Candidatus Woesebacteria bacterium
Lineage: Bacteria; Candidatus Woeseibacteriota
Description: tRNA-Arg
Rfam family: tRNA
About the family: Transfer RNA (tRNA) molecules are approximately 80 nucleotides in length. Their secondary structure includes four short double-helical elements and three loops (D, anti-codon, and T loops).
Source: RNAcentral